This 168-nucleotide transfer-messenger RNA is filed under the name Enterobacter roggenkampii. RNAcentral's name for it is "partial transfer-messenger RNA". It matches the Rfam family "transfer-messenger RNA", at positions 1 to 175 of the family's 374-position model. Rfam says of the family: Bacterial tmRNA, also known as 10Sa RNA or SsrA, is named for its dual tRNA and mRNA-like properties. Lineage: Bacteria; Pseudomonadati; Pseudomonadota; Gammaproteobacteria; Enterobacterales; Enterobacteriaceae. The record is from RNAcentral.
GGGGCUGAUUCUGGAUUCGACGGGAUUUGCGAAACCCAAGGUGCAUGCCGAGGGGCGGUUUGCCUCGUUAAAAGCCGCAAAAAAUAGUCGCAAACGACGAAAACUACGCUUUAGCAGCUUAAUAACCUGCUCUGAGCCCUCUCUCCCUAGCUUCCGCUCUUAAGACGG